This 253-nucleotide ribosomal RNA is filed under the name uncultured bacterium. Its description in RNAcentral is "partial 16S ribosomal RNA". It matches the Rfam family "Bacterial small subunit ribosomal RNA", at positions 524 to 776 of the family's 1533-position model. The record is from RNAcentral.
UACGUAGGGACCGAGCGUUGUCCGGAUUCAUUGGGCGUAAAGAGCUCGUAGGCGGCCACUCAAGUCGAAUGUGAAACCUCGAGGCUCAACCUCGAGCCUGCAUUCGAUACUGGGCGGCUAGAGUCUGGUAGGGGGAUCUGGAAUUCCUGGUGUAGCGGUGGAAUGCGCAGAUAUCAGGAGGAACACCGGUGGCGAAGGCGGGAUCCUGGGCCAGUACUGACGCUGAGGCGCGAAAGCUAGGGGAGCGAACGGG